GCGGGGUGGAGGGGGCGACGCUAGCCCCUAUGAUGAGUCAUCUGGCUUCGAACCAGAGGGUCGGGAGUUCGAAUCUCUCCGGGCGCG
Molecule: transfer RNA, 87 nt
Filed under: Deltaproteobacteria bacterium
Lineage: Bacteria; Pseudomonadati; Myxococcota; Myxococcia
Description: tRNA-Arg
Rfam family: tRNA (bases 24-87)
About the family: Transfer RNA (tRNA) molecules are approximately 80 nucleotides in length. Their secondary structure includes four short double-helical elements and three loops (D, anti-codon, and T loops).
Source: RNAcentral